Molecule: long non-coding RNA, 321 nt
Filed under: Carica papaya (papaya)
Lineage: Eukaryota; Viridiplantae; Streptophyta; Magnoliopsida; Brassicales; Caricaceae
Description: long non-coding RNA (CPAP_LNC016689)
Source: RNAcentral
UUUAGAAAAAGUAGAUUCAUGCACUGCUUGCUGGAUGAAAAAUAGUGCUUUGGAAUCCCUUUUUUUAUUUUCUCUUAACCUGCGUUCUUUAUCCGGAUUAGGAUACCCAUUCUCAACAAAGUCCCAUAAAUCUUGAGACUUGAAUAAUGUCUUCAUUUUAAUGCUCCAAAAUUCGUAGCUUUCACCAUGAAAAGAUAGGAAUUGAUGGUUGAGAAAUACUCACGACAUUGCCAUUUGUCGCCAUGAGAUGUACGCCCAAUUACAACCAAACUUUGCUCUAAUACCACUAUUGUUGGAGAAGAGAGUUUUGUUGAACUCAAA